Molecule: long non-coding RNA, 427 nt
Organism: Homo sapiens (human)
Lineage: Eukaryota; Metazoa; Chordata; Mammalia; Primates; Hominidae
Source: Ensembl
GAGCCCAGCAACUCUGUCCCUGGGUUUCUCCUUUUCUAGGUGGCCAACAGUUUGUUGGGGCAGAUUUGAGUCCCUGAUGUAUCCCUAGCUGCACCAUGGAAAACAGCACAUCCAUUUUGUAAGAGUAUCCACCACAGGCAUUUAAUGGAAAUAAACCAUUCUGACAGCCCAAAAGGGUGCUUCAGUCGAUUGUGGAAGCUUGAAACAAAGCAGGAAGAAUUGUUUAGGCACAGCACACCCAAUGAGAAUGGAACCAACCAACACUUCUAGUUCUUUUUCAACCUGCGUACCAGUGUCUAGGGCUAAAGAAGAUGAGGACAGCCAACCAUUCCAAGGAUAGAAGCCUGAAUUAACCAAGAUAAUUGGCAAAGGGUCACAGAAAAUGUCCUUUUAAAAAUAAUAAUGCUUACUCUUUUUCUUAACUGUC